Long non-coding RNA from Paramisgurnus dabryanus, 644 nucleotides. RefSeq lists it as uncharacterized. The record is from RefSeq and is a predicted model, not a curated record. Lineage: Eukaryota; Metazoa; Chordata; Actinopteri; Cypriniformes; Cobitidae.
UAAACCCACAGAAGAAGAAUGAAGACGACGCGCAAAACUUUUGUUUGUAUAUAUAGACUUCAGACAGAAAUUCGUGCUGCAAACCGUUUGCGCGAUGCAAAGCCGCAAAAGAAAAAAAUGAAGAGAUGUGUAUGUGGAGAGGUGGAUCAACACCACACGAGGACAGCAGGGAUUUAAGAGUUGGAGAAUAGGACAGGCUUCGCAAAGCAUGACUUGGAGAGCGUUUGUCUUUGACCCUGAGAUUCUAUGCAACAGGUGACACGUUCAAGUCCCUCAGGUUCAAGUCCAGGAUGGGGGACCAGCACCAUCCCACAAAUAGUUUUGGAUAGCUGUUCUGUACCAGGUUAUAAAGGACGAUUUCUUGAAGACACCAUCAACGGAAGGAGAGUGGCAUAGCCGUGGACUUCGAAAGGAAGUGGCAGUUUCCACAUUGCUUUGGGGUACUUGCUACCACUCCAGCUGUAGCAGACUGCUGACCAAAACAUGGUUGAUGGGCAAUGGAAGAAUCGUGGGACGGGUGCUUUUCAACCGAUGAACACCACCUCACAUCGCAAUUGUAUGGCAACAGCAAAAGUGCAACGCAAUCUGAUGCGGGACUACUUUGUCUCACCAGCGUGUAGUGUUUAUUAGCAAGUUCAACACAU